This 1382-nucleotide ribosomal RNA is filed under the name uncultured bacterium. Its description in RNAcentral is "bacterial SSU rRNA". It matches the Rfam family "Bacterial small subunit ribosomal RNA", at positions 18 to 1395 of the family's 1533-position model. The record is from RNAcentral.
CCUGGCUCAGGAUGAACGCUAGCUACAGGCUUAACACAUGCAAGUCGAGGGGCAGCAUGGUCUUAGCUUGCUAAGGCCGAUGGCGACCGGCGCACGGGUGAGUAACACGUAUCCAACCUGCCGUCUACUCUUGGACAGCCUUCUGAAAGGAAGAUUAAUACAAGAUGGCAUCAUGAGUCCGCAUGUUCACAUGAUUAAAGGUAUUCCGGUAGACGAUGGGGAUGCGUUCCAUUAGAUAGUAGGCGGGGUAACGGCCCACCUAGUCUUCGAUGGAUAGGGGUUCUGAGAGGAAGGUCCCCCACAUUGGAACUGAGACACGGUCCAAACUCCUACGGGAGGCAGCAGUGAGGAAUAUUGGUCAAUGGGCGAGAGCCUGAACCAGCCAAGUAGCGUGAAGGAUGACUGCCCUAUGGGUUGUAAACUUCUUUUAUAAAGGAAUAAAGUCGGGUAUGGAUACCCGUUUGCAUGUACUUUAUGAAUAAGGAUCGGCUAACUCCGUGCCAGCAGCCGCGGUAAUACGGAGGAUCCGAGCGUUAUCCGGAUUUAUUGGGUUUAAAGGGAGCGUAGAUGGAUGUUUAAGUCAGUUGUGAAAGUUUGCGGCUCAACCGUAAAAUUGCAGUUGAUACUGGAUAUCUUGAGUGCAGUUGAGGCAGGCGGAAUUCGUGGUGUAGCGGUGAAAUGCUUAGAUAUCACGAAGAACUCCGAUUGCGAAGGCAGCCUGCUAAGCUGCAACUGACAUUGAGGCUCGAAAGUGUGGGUAUCAAACAGGAUUAGAUACCCUGGUAGUCCACACGGUAAACGAUGAAUACUCGCUGUUUGCGAUAUACUGCAAGCGGCCAAGCGAAAGCGUUAAGUAUUCCACCUGGGGAGUACGCCGGCAACGGUGAAACUCAAAGGAAUUGACGGGGGCCCGCACAAGCGGAGGAACAUGUGGUUUAAUUCGAUGAUACGCGAGGAACCUUACCCGGGCUUAAAUUGCAGAUGAAUUACGGUGAAAGCCGUAAGCCGCAAGGCAUCUGUGAAGGUGCUGCAUGGUUGUCGUCAGCUCGUGCCGUGAGGUGUCGGCUUAAGUGCCAUAACGAGCGCAACCCUUGUUGUCAGUUACUAACAGGUUCCGCUGAGGACUCUGACAAGACUGCCAUCGUAAGAUGUGAGGAAGGUGGGGAUGACGUCAAAUCAGCACGGCCCUUACGUCCGGGGCUACACACGUGUUACAAUGGGGGGUACAGAGGGCCGCUACCACGCGAGUGGAUGCCAAUCCCAAAAACCUCUCUCAGUUCGGACUGGAGUCUGCAACCCGACUCCACGAAGCUGGAUUCGCUAGUAAUCGCGCAUCAGCCACGGCGCGGUGAAUACGUUCCCGGGCCUUGUACACACCGCCC